Molecule: ribosomal RNA, 468 nt
Filed under: uncultured bacterium
Lineage: Bacteria
Description: partial 16S ribosomal RNA
Rfam family: Bacterial small subunit ribosomal RNA
Source: RNAcentral
GACGAACGCUGGCGGCGUGCUUAACACAUGCAAGUCGAACGGAAAGGCCCUGCUUUUGUGGGGUGCUCGAGUGGCGAACGGGUGAGUAACACGUGAGUAACCUGCCCUUGACUUUGGGAUAACUUCAGGAAACUGGGGCUAAUACCGGAUAGGAGCUCCUGCUGCAUGGUGGGGGUUGGAAAGUUUCGGCGGUUGGGGAUGGACUCGCGGCUUAUCAGCUUGUUGGUGGGGUAGUGGCUUACCAAGGCUUUGACGGGUAGCCGGCCUGAGAGGGUGACCGGCCACAUUGGGACUGAGAUACGGCCCAGACUCCUACGGGAGGCAGCAGUGGGGAAUAGUGCACAAUGGGCGGAAGCCUGAUGCAGCAACGCCGUGUGCGGGAUGACGGCCUUCGGGUUGUAAACCGCUUUCGCCUGUGACAAAGCGUGAGUGACGGUAAUGGGUAAAGAAGCACCGGCUAACUACGUG